Pelobates cultripes (western spadefoot toad) is the source of this 9148-nucleotide non-coding RNA. The record is from the annotation of a GenBank genome assembly. NCBI's taxonomy places the organism in Eukaryota, Metazoa, Chordata, Amphibia, Anura, Pelobatidae.
CGGAAACAGAAGCUUCUCUACUACGGUCCAUGUGUUUCCCCUGCUGCUGGUCACUUAGCAAUUGACUAUGUGGAUGGACACAGAUCCAAAGGUAAGCUGGCCCAGGGGACAUUUUCCCAGUGGGACAGUCUGGCCCUGGUAAUUAAAGUUCAAUUUACAGAGAAGGAGAUAAAAAUGUCAGACAUAAGUUAGCAUCUGAUUGAAAGUGAAACCAUUAUUGUUUCAUACAGGGUGUGUGAGUCACAGCCAGGGAUGGUAUUGCUAGGGCUGUAUGAAAGAGAACAAGAAUAAUUUAAAUGGCAGAGAAUUGAGCAGUAAGACUGCAAGGGCAUGAUCUGCAUAACCAAACUGCGUCAUCAAGAUAAAGUUGAUUUGAUGCCUAUUGAGUAGCCCUUUAAGUACAGCCCUAUUUUCCAGGAAAAAAUGUUCAGCAAUUUAAUUUGUAUACACGUAUCUAUUUACAUAAAUAAAAUGGUAUAAAAGAACACUAUAGACACAAGAUCACUUCAUCUCAAUAAAGUGGUCUGGCUGCAGUGACGAGUUCCUUUUAAGAAAUUGCAAUGUGAGAAACUGCAAUGUUUAUGUUACAGGAUUAAGUCCGCCCCUAUAAAAUUUCAUUAUGAAAAUAUUUUUACCUAGUUUAAAAAUGAGGGACUUGAGAAUAGGAUGCAUUAAUUAACAUUUCAGUUUAGUUUAGAUUUUAUAAGCCUUAAAUGGUCUCAUGUAUGUACUUUCAAGAGACAUAAUUCACAAACUUGUUAAAGAGACACAAAAAAAGGAAAUAUUAUUAUUUAUACUAAAGUGUUGUUAAAAUUGUAUUCCAAUGACCUCCCACAUUAGCCAUCUAAACCUCAAUUUUUCCUUCACCUGCUCAAAAAAAACUUUGUACUAUAAUAACUACUGUAGUGAACAUGUAGUUUUUAUGGUGCACAGUGUGCCUCUUUAUUUAGUCUUAUUUCCUACACUUUUGUUAUUUAAAUUUUAAUGUAAAGACUAUUAGCAGCCCUUUUAAUAAAUGGGCAAUAAAAAGUGGAAAUGAGAAAGAAACAUUAUUUUGUAAGUAUUAAUUAGUAUUCUAAGGUAGGGUGACCUAUUGUGAUUGCCCUUUUAGAGCAGUGUGUUUUAGACAGUGGGUUUGCAGGUGGACUACAGAUACCUGACAAUGAAGUGUUUAGUCACGUACAAACGUCUAGUGAAAAUAAUCACUUUUAUUACAAGUUGGGCUAAUUAAAUGAAGCACAGAAAAAUUAGAAAGAAGCAAUUAACUCGUCCAGUUUGAUUAUUCCCUAUUGAUAAAAAAAAGUGUAGGAUUAAUUUAAAUGUAGAUAUUAUGUUCUAUUUAGAGCAUGCACAUCAUUUCAGCACAUUUUCAAUUUCUGCUUAUGUGCAAAACCUCAAAUAGGAUACCCUUCUGCACAUCAACUACCACCAAGAAAAAACCUUGAGAUAGCAUUAGUAAAUUUUUUGCCGUUAUAUAUCUUUUAUAUUACAUGAUAUUUUAGGUUGGGGUUAGUGUUAUUGUAAUUAGUUUACGGGUUGUGUUAGUGUACUCUAAGGGUUAAUUUUAAGUAUUAGUGUAGUAGUUAAAGAGACACUAUAGUCACCAGAACAACAUGCAGCCUAAUUACAUAGUUACAUAGUUACAUAGCUGAAAAGAGACAUUGCGUCCAUCAAGUUCAGCCAUCCUCACAUUUGUUUUUUGCUGUUGAUCCAAAAGAAGGCAAAAAAAAAAACAGUUUGAAGCACUUCCAAUUUUGCAACAAGCUAGGAAAAAAAUUCCUUCUUGACCCCAGAAUGGCAGUCAGAUUUAUCAUUGGAUCAAGCAGUUAUUACCCUACAUUGAAAGAUUAUAUCUUUGAAUAUUCUAUUUUUGCAAGUAUGCAUCUAGUAGCUGUUUGAACAUCUGUAUGGACUCUGAUAAAACCACUUCUUCAGGCAGGCAAUUCCACAUCCUUAUUGUUCUUACAGUAAAAAAAACCUUUCCUUUGCCUUAGACGAAAUCUUCUUUCUUCCAGUCUAAAUGCAUGACCUCGUGUCCAAUGUAAAGUCAGGUUUGUGAAUAGAUUUCCACACAAUGGUUUUUAUUGGCCCUGAAUAUUUUUGUAUAAUGUUAUCAUAUCCCCUCUCAUGCAACGUUUUUCUAAACUAAAUAGGUUUAAAUUUGUUAACCUUUCUUUAUAGCUGAUAUGUUUCAUUCCUCUUAUUAAUUUUGUAGCCCGCCUCUGCACUUUUUCUAGUGCCAUAAUAUCCUUCUUUAGAAAAGGUGCCCAAAAUUGCACAGCAUAUUCAAUAUGUGGUCUUACCAGUGAUUUAUAAAGAGGCACAAUUAUAUUCUCGUCUCCAGAAUGAAUGUCCUUUUUCAUGCAUGACAAUACCUUACUGGCCUUGGCCACUGCUGAUUGACAUUGCACAUUGUUGCAUAGUUUGUUGUCUAUAACAAUUCCCAAGUCUUUUUCAUGUGUUGUUAUCCCUAAUUCGCUUCCAUUAAGGGUAUACGUUUCUUGUGUAUUCUUUACGCCAAAGUGCAUUACUUUGCAUUUUUCAACAUUAAAUUUCAUCUGCCAUUUGAGUGCCCAGUCCCCCAGUCUAUCUAAAUCCCUCUGCAGCAAAGUAAUAUCUUGCUCACCUUGUAUUAUUUUACAGAGUUUUGUGUCAUCUGCAAACACUGAAACAUGACUUUCAAUGCUUUCUUCAAGAUCAUUUAUAAAUAUGUUAAAUAGAAGGGGUCCCAGAACAGACCCCUGAGUUUGACAUGACCUGUGCUUCAUAAAACCGUGCUGAUUUUUGCUGAUAACCAUGUUCUUCUCAAGGAAUUCUUUAACAUUAUCCCUUGAUAACCUUUCAAAUAUGUUCCCAGCCACAGAAGUUAAAGGACCACUCUAGGCACCCAGACCACUUCAGCGUAAUGAAGUGGUCUGGGUGCCAGGUCCUUCUAGGGUUAACCCAUUUUUUCAUAAACAUAGCAGUUUCAGAGAAACUGCUAUGUUUAUGAAUGGGUUAAGCCUUCCCCUAUUUCCUCUAGUGGCUGUCUCAUUGACAGCCACUAGAGGCGCUUGCGUGCUUCUCACUGUGAUUUUCACAGUGAGAGCACGCCAGCGUCCAUAGGAAAGCAUUGAGAAUGCUUUCCUAUGUGACCGGCUGAAUGCGCGCGCAGCUCUUGCCGCGCGUGCGCAUUCAGCCGACGGAGUCGGAGGAGGAGGGAGGCAGAGCUCUCCGCCCAGCGCUGGAAAAAGGUAAGUUAUUACCCCUUUCCCCCUUCCAGAGCCGGGCGGGAGGGGGUCCCUGAGGGUGGGGGCACCCUCAGGGCACUAUAGUGCCAGGAAAACGAGUAUGUUUUCCUGGCAUUAUAGUGGUCCUUUAAGCUCACAAGUCUAUAAUUUCCAGGCAAGGAUUUUGAACCCUUUUUGAAUAUAGGAACCACAUCUGCCUUCCUCCAAUCCUCCGGAACACUUCCUGAAAGAAAAGAAUAUUGAAAGAUUAAAAACAGAGGUUCACUUAUUUCUACACUUAGUUCCUUAAGUACUUUUGGAUGGAUAUCGUCAAACCCUGGAUCUUUGUUUAUAUUAAACUUUCUUUAGUUGCUGCAGCACCUUGUCUUGAGUUAAUGCAACUAUUCUGCAAGUUUUUACUAGCAAUCAUUUGCACAUCUAUUGCCAUGGGUUCUUCCUUAAUAUAUACAGAGGAGAAACAGUUAUUUAGAAUUCCUGCCUUUUCCUGGUCUUCAUUAACUAACACCCCGUUUCAGUUUUUAGUGUACCUACACUUUAAUUUUUUUAAUUUUUUUUUUAGAAUUUAUGUACUUAAAACAUGCUUUGGGGUUGGUUUAGCAAAUCUAAUCGCCUUUUUGCACGCAUUAUUGGCUUAAUGUAGUUGUUAUGGUGUCUAUAGACUGUCCCUUUUACUGCCUAGUAACAUCUCUAGUGGCAGUCACUCAGACAGCCACUAGAGGUGCUUCCUGAUUCAUUGCUGCACAGUGUGCAGCACUGGCGUUGAGAUGUGGAACGCUUCCCAUACAGAUGCAUUGAUUCAAUGCAUCUCUAUGAGGAUAUGCUGAUUUUGCCAUGCAUGCACAAUAGCCUCCCAAUGCUUUCCGAUGGGAAAGCCUUAGAUUGGCUGAGAUUGAGAUCAAAAUUGAUUAUCUUAGUCACAGAGGCAGAGUAAGGUGGAAAAAAAAGCCGCAACGAGACCGGCAUGGUGACAGAAAAAAAGAAUUUAAACACUUUUUAAAGUAAAGAGAGUGGUACCACGAGCCUAAACUGCUAUUUUACCACUAUUGUGUCAGGAAUGUGUUUUCAUGACAUGAUUGUGUUUCUUUAAUGUUUAUAGCAGUGCAUGGGUUAAUGGUUAGUGAUAGUGUUAGUGUAGUGUUAAUGUUUAUUGUUAGUGGUGUUAAUGCCUACUGUAUUGUAGUAUAUUGUUAGUGUAGGGGUUAAGUGGCUGCCUGAGAUUAGUGACAGUUACAUACCAGGGCAGACGCUAUUUCUAGCUGCUUUCAUUUUAAUGCCAGCAGGUGCCACUUGGGAGUGCAACUUGCACUAAUCACAUACGCAUGUCCCAGUUCUGACUGCAAUUAGAGCUCUCCCACUGCACAGAAGUCUUCUUAAAAAUGUUCACCACCUCUCAUUACUUGAGAAAAAUUCUCAUUAGAGACCCUUUUUGGUUGUAAUUACAGCAAGAGCAAUAGUGACUGCUGCAUUUUAUUUGCGGCAUUGCCCUGCCUGAUUGAUUGGACUCUACCAAUUUAAUACCAUGAGAUGCCAUGUCCUGUUUAAAAUAGCUAUAUUUCCGUCAUCAAUAUAGGGGAUAAUAGAAAUUGUAAUGACUGCUUAGUGCUAUAUUAUUAUUUUUUUUUUGUGUCAACAUAAACCUGGUUGCUGCCUCACUUGCCGCCCUGGGCCACCCUCCACUGGAAGAUGUGUAUAUUGAAUGUAUAAACACCAAUACUAUUUUAUCUUAAUGUAAUAGUUUUGGUGCAUAGACUACACUUGUCACCAAAUUCUGUUAAUGCUCUUCUAUAACAAGCAUCAAAUCGUCAGCCUUCAAGAAAAAGAAGUUAACUAAAUACAUAUAUGCCGACAGACAAUCCCAAAGCAGACAUCGGAAAAAAAAAAUCACACUUCUAGAUUCCCUCAGAAAUGUAAUAAAUUGUAAUAAAAAUAUAUUCCUGUAACUCAAUGUGCCUUUAAUAGAGCCACAACAAAGGUGAACUGACAAUAUUUCAUCUGGGCUUAGGCUAGGUCACCUGUGUAAAAGUUGUAAUGACAGCACAUCGAAUCGUAAAAAGAUAUCAGCAAUUAUUUUGAUGUACUAUUUACCAAAGAUAGAUUUAUUUUAUGAACUUUAUAAGUUUAGAACGGAGUGUGCUGUUUUAGAAUUUUUGUUUUGUGCUGACUUCCUGUUCUAUAUUUUUAUCGAAUAAUUUAUUCAAUUUCCCUGGUUUACUAGAUAUUCUUGUUAGAUAGAUAGACAGGCAAAUGGAUAGAUAUGUUAUUGGAGCUAAUUUUCCUGUUCAGAUAACAAUUUGAGCAGGGACUACGAUAUAGAUUGGCAUAAUGGGGUCAAAUGAGAUUGUACCAAUACAUUUGAAAGGUGUGAUAUUUCAAAGAAAGUAUUUAGAUUUGCACAUGGGUAGAAAGUCAUUUAAAGGUCAAAGAGAAUAAAAGAAUAGCAGGUCCUCUGAUUUCGAGUAAUUAUAAUGCUAUUUAAUUAAUGUGGCUAUGCACAGAUUGCACCAAAUUGUCCUAGUGUUAAUUGUUUGUAGAAGAGCAAUGUGACUAAAUUAAUUGGAGGACUUUGUAGAAACUAGAAAAUUUUAUUUUAUCAAUGCAAAAUAAUUAAUUUGGCUUAUAAAAAUAAGGGACAUUAAUUAAAAGUGGAUUUCUGACCUGUUUGUGGGUACACUUUUACCAAAUGCAUAUAUUAGAUGUUAACUACAAAAGCAAGCCACAUGUUUUAGUAAAUAUUUUCUAAACAGCAGUGGAACUACCGUCAGUGUGACUGCACUGGGACCAACUACAUGACCCAUUUAGUAAGGGCUACUGGAUGGCAAUGUGUCCUCAGGGGCCUGGUUUAGCGCUGUGGCCCUUUAACAGCAAGACCAGGUCCCUUUUAAUGUCACCACUGAGAGGAAGUGACUGAUGGUCCGUUUCUCCCAGAUAGCACAGAGCCACGCAAGAGAGGAAGAGAGGAGGGACUGGGAAAGACUCUGUCUCCCAGCAGCUUCAUGCAGCCAACUUGAACCCAAGGAAGCCAUAAUGCUGGAUCCUAAAGUUAGGAAAUCGGACAGUGGCUACAAAUUUACAUUUUGCACAUGUAUCUAUCUAUCUCUGUGUCUGUAUGUGUAUCUGUGUGUCAGUGUUUGUGUCUGUGUAUCAUUCUGUGUUUCUGUGCAUCUGCAUGUGUGUUAGUGUGUAUCGUAUUUGUAUGUGUGUCAAUGUGUGUAUAUGUGCGUCUGUGUAUCUGUAUAUACUCAUCUGUAUGUGUGUUAAUGUGUGCAUCUAUGUCUUAGCAUGGGCGUCACUACACACAAAUUCACCACUACAUUGACACACACAUACUCCAUACAGACACAUGCUUACAUUUAAACACACAAGCAACUGUUCUGUGCUAAAUGCAACCAUGCAAGAAUUGGCAAAUAGUAGAUCCCCAGCUGGCAAGGCAUUGUUAGAGUUGUACAACAUAUUAUUUUUGGCCCAAGAAAGAGAUUUUACAACUCGAGCUAAGUGAGAUGGGCUGAAAUGAAAUGUUAUAAAUGUUACAAAAGAAUAUUGUCCACUUAUUACAGACAAUAUAUUCCUAUGUAGUGAUUAUUAUUGGGAAAUAUAUUAAGUUAGUAAUAAAGUCUGCACAGGGGAAGAAUUUGGUUCAGCCCAGGGCCGGCCUUAUGUGUUUAGGCACCCUGUGCGAGCCAAUCUUGAGGCGCCCUGACCCCUCCCCCCCUCGCCUUCCCCCGGUCACCUAGACAUACACAAAGAGGGAAAAAAACCUUUGUAAGAAAUAAUUUGUUUUAAUUACAGAUAAUUUAAGUGCAAGUGCAAACAAUUACAAUAAUAAAUAACUGGUAACAAUAAUGUACAUUAAGGGGACACUACAGUCAUCAAAACAACGUUAUCUUAAUGAAGCAGUUUAGGUGUAUAGAGCAUGUCCCUGCAGUGUCACUGCUCAAUUCUCUGCCAUUUAAGUGUUAAAUCAUGUAUAGCCUCUCCCUCAUUUCUUCACCCCACGUAUCUGUUUCGCCCCCUCUAGACAAUUUCAGGCACACAAGCUGCCGCCUCCACCCCCUUCUACAAAAUCCUGCCCCCCUUUCACCAAAACCCCAGGCCUCCCCUUCACCAAACACCUGCUUCACCAAAACCCCUGCCCCCAUUCACUUAACCCCUGCCCCCUUCAACAAAACCCCUGGCUGCACCUUCAUCAAUGCCCUGCCCCCCUUCAUCAAUCCUCUGCACCCCUCCGUCAGACCUUGACACGCUUAAUCAAUCCCCUGCUUCCUUCAUCAAUCCCCUGAACCCCCUUACCAGUCCCCUGCCCCCAUUCACCAAUUAUCUUCCCACUUCGCCAAUCCCCUGCCCCCCUUCAUCAAUGCUCUGCCCUCCUUCACCAGUCCCCCGCCCCACUUCACCAGUCCCCUGCCCUCCUUCCCCAGUCAACUGCCCCCCUUCCCCAGUCCCACUUCCCCAGUCCACUACCCCACUUCCCCAGUCCCCUGCCCCCUUCACCAAUCCCCUGCCCCUUUACCAGUCCCUUGCCCCCCUUUAUCAGCCCCCUGCCAUCCUUCACCAGCCCCUGCCCUCCUUUACUAGUCCCCUGCCCCCUUUAUCCAUCCCCUGCCCCCUUCAUCAGACCCUGCCACCCUUCAUCAUUCCCCUGCCCCCUUACCAGUCCCUGCCCCUUCAUCAUUCCCUGCCCUCCUUCACCAGUCCCCUGCCCUCCUUCAUCAGUCCCUUGCCCCCAUCAACAGACCCUGCCCCCUUCACCAAUCCCCUGCCCCCUUUCCAUCAAUUCCUGCCCCCCUUUAUAAGACCCUGCCACCUUAAUCAAUCUCCUUCGCCCUUCCCCAACAACCCUGCACCCCUUCAAUAAAAGUCAAUAUAUUUAGUUUAAAAAGCAAUAAGAACUAGGACUCACUUUAAUGGCUGCUGCUCUCUGGAUCGAGCUUUCCACUCCGCCGGGUCGCCGAUUUAAGAGCACUGGCCGCCGACCUCACACGCACCAAUCGGAGCCUGCCGCGGCUCCCUGUGAAGGCGUAGCACGUGAACAUUGCGCCCCCUCGCUCUUCCUCCAUGCUCCAGACCUCUUCAGUCUGCAACGGAUCUUGGCAACUGAUCACCUCUCCCCUCAUAAUUUGCAAGUCAAGUGCAUAGCAGCACUAUGCACUUGACUUGCUCUGGCAUUUGUAAACCCAGCACUUAACUUGGGCUGGCCUCUUUGUGAUCCACUGUGAGCUAUGUUGGCCGCCCCCAGCGCCCCUGUUGCCAUGGCGCCCUGUGCUGCCGCACAGAUCGCACACCACAAAGGCCGGCCCUGGUUCAGCCAAACCCUUUUUCCAAAAUCAAAUUUUGGUUAUGACCUCUAACACGUUUUCAUUUGAUAAUUCAGCUAGCCUGAAUAUCGCCCAUGAAAAAUAUUCUGGAAAACAAACAAAAAAGGAUGCAAAUAUGAGCAUAUCAGUAUACUGGAAUAUAUGCACAUAAUAUAAAUAUUAUGUACAUAGAAAUAUUAGAUUUGUCAGUCAUUUGGUUCACAAUUCAAGUGAGAAAAAGUAACCAAUAAAGAAAAGAGGAGGAACAAGAAAUAAAAAUAAUUAUUUCUAUAUUAAAUAUAUUUAUUAAAUAUUAGAUUUAUAUGUCAUCACUGCUUUUCCUUUAUUUCCUGUAUUGGUCACUUUUCACUUCAUCUGUGAAUAAAAUCAACAUUUAAUAGCUUUCCCCUAACCAUCAUUAAUUAUUUUCCCAUCUAGCAUCUCUUGGUGUCAUAAGCAGAAUUCUGAAAACUGAAGCAAAUCAAGAUGCUCAACCACUGCACAAGUCAUCCGUAUGGCACUUCAGACUUACGGAAUUCAACCAAAACGCUGACUGGCCUAAAUUCGCAUUGCAUUCAGCCAAAACCGAACGCGCAAGUCUAAUAAUGUCUAAUGAUAUGCCUGUGA